Molecule: ribosomal RNA, 1090 nt
Filed under: uncultured archaeon
Lineage: Archaea
Description: bacterial SSU rRNA
Rfam family: Archaeal small subunit ribosomal RNA
Source: RNAcentral
UUCCGGUUGAUCCCGCCGGACCCCACUGCUAUCGAGGUGGGACUAAGCCAUGCUAGUCGAACGACCCGGACUAUGGCGGGAAGUGGCAGACUGCUCAAUAACACGUAGCUAACCUACCCUUGGGACGGGUACAACCCCGGGAAACUGAGGUUAAUACCCGAUAGGUGUGGAAUCCUGGAAUGGUACCACGCCCAAAUGUAAACGCAUCCAUGUUUGCGUACACGCCCGAGGAUGGGGCUGCGGCCGAUCAGGCAGUUGGUGAGGUAACGGCUCACCAAACCUUUGACCGGUACGGGCCAUGAGAGUGGUAGCCCGGAGAUGGGCACUGAGACAAGGGCCCAGGCCCUACGGGGCGCAGCAGGCGCGAAACCUCCACAAUUCACGAAAGUGAGAUGGGGUUACCUCGAGUGCCGCCUGAAGAAGGCGGCUUUUCCAUUGUGUAAUGAGCCGUGGGAAUAAGAGGGGGGCAAGACUGGUGUCAGCCGCCGCGGUAACACCAGCCCCUCGAGUGGUGGGGAUGAUUAUUUGGCCUAAAGCGUCCGUAGCCUGCUCUGUAAAUCUUUCGUUAAAUCCAGCGUCCUAAGCGUUGGGCUGCGAGAGAGACUGCAGAGCUAGAGGGUGGGAGAGGUCAGCGGUAUUCCUGGGGUAGGGGCGAAAUCCAUUGAUCCCAGGAGGACCACCAGUGGCGAAGGCUGCUGACUAGAACACGCCUGACGGUGAGGGACGAAAGCUGGGGUAGCGAACCGGAUUAGAUACCCGAGUAGUCCCAGCCGUAAACGAUGCAGGCUAGGUGUUGGGUUGGCCACGUGCCAGCUCAGUGCCACAGGGAAGCCAUUAAGCCUGCCGCCUGGGGAGUACGGCCGCAAGGCUGAAACUUAAAGGAAUUGGCGGGGGAGCACCACCAGGCGUGAAGCCUGCGGUUUAAUUGGAUUCAACGCCGGGAAUCACUAGUGCGGCCGUCCUGCAGUCGACCAUAUGGGAGAGCUCCCAACGCGUUGGAUGCAUAGCUUGAGUAUUUCUAUAGUGUCACCUAAAUAGCUUGCGUAUCAUGUCAUAGCUGUUUCCUGUGUGAAAUUGUUAUUCCGCCUCA